CAGAAGUCUGACGGAGCACGCCGCGUGAGUGAUGAAGGCUUUCGGGUCGUAAAACUCUGUUGUUAGGGAAGAACAAGUGCUAGUUGAAUAAGCUGGCACCUUGACGGUACCUAACCAGAAAGCCACGGCUACUACGUGCCAGCAGCCGCGGUAAUACGUAGGUGGCAAGCGUUAUCCGGAAUUAUUGGGCGUAAAGCGCGCGCAGGUGGUUUCUUAAGUCUGAUGUGAAAGCCCACGGCUCAACCGUGGAGGGUCAUUGGAAACUGGGAGACUUGAGUGCAGAAGAGGAAAGUGGAAUUCCAUGUGUAGCGGUGAAAUGCGUAGAGAUAUGGAGGAACACCAGUGGCGAAGGCGACUUUCUGGUCUGUAACUGACACUGAGCGGAAAGCGUGGGGAGCAAACAGGAUAGAUACCCUGGUAGUCC
Molecule: ribosomal RNA, 424 nt
Filed under: Bacillus mycoides
Lineage: Bacteria; Bacillati; Bacillota; Bacilli; Caryophanales; Bacillaceae
Also listed under: 1 other name
Description: bacterial SSU rRNA
Rfam family: Bacterial small subunit ribosomal RNA
Source: RNAcentral